UGAGUAACCUGCCCUUAACUCUGGGAUAAGCCUGGGGAAACUGGGUCUAAUACCGGAUAUGACUCCUCAUCGCAUGGUGGGGGGUGGAAAGCUUUAUUGUGGUUUUGGAUGGACUCGCGGCCUAUCAGCUUGUUGGUGAGGUAAUGGCUCACCAAGGCGACGACGGGUAGCCGGCCUGAGAGGGUGACCGGCCACACUGGGACUGAGACACGGCCCAGACUCCUACGGGAGGCAG
Molecule: ribosomal RNA, 235 nt
Filed under: uncultured bacterium
Lineage: Bacteria
Description: partial 16S ribosomal RNA
Rfam family: Bacterial small subunit ribosomal RNA
Source: RNAcentral